AUAGGGUGUAUAUAGUAAGUAGU
Molecule: unclassified non-coding RNA, 23 nt
Filed under: Xenopus laevis (African clawed frog)
Lineage: Eukaryota; Metazoa; Chordata; Amphibia; Anura; Pipidae
Source: RNAcentral